UGACCAACUCACCCUCGUGGUGGACUUGGAGCUGGCCUAACUGGCCUCUCUUAAAACCAGUGGCGGUGCUCUUAAGCUCUACGCGUAGUAAUUUUUCUCGCGACAGGGUCUUGAUGGUGCUUGCCAGCAACCCCAACUAUUAUAA
RNAcentral lists this unclassified non-coding RNA (145 nucleotides) under uncultured Helotiales. RNAcentral describes it as "sequence contains ITS2". Lineage: Eukaryota; Fungi; Ascomycota; Leotiomycetes; Helotiales. The record is from RNAcentral.